UACGAAGGGGGCUAGCGUUGUUCGGAAUGACUGGGCGUAAAGGGCGCGUAGGCGGCGAUCUUAGUCAGGCGUGAAAGCCCUGGGCUUAACCUAGGAAUUGCGUUUGAUACUGGGUUGCUAGAGUGCGGGAGAGGAUGGUGGAAUUCCCAGUGUAGAGGUGAAAUUCGUAGAUAUUGGGAAGAACACCGGUGGCGAAGGCGGCCAUCUGGACCGUUACUGACGCUGAGGCGCGAAAGCGUGGGGAGCAAACAGG
RNAcentral lists this ribosomal RNA (253 nucleotides) under uncultured bacterium. RNAcentral's name for it is "partial 16S ribosomal RNA". It matches the Rfam family "Bacterial small subunit ribosomal RNA", at positions 524 to 776 of the family's 1533-position model. The record is from RNAcentral.